CAUGAGGGCCCUUCUCUGUAGAGGGAAGAAGAGUAGCCCCUUAGACUCACCUCUCCAAGCCCACAGAAAAGGACCUCCAGACCCCAUGAGCUACUGAGCUCCUGCUGCAAGGUUGCCAUGAUCCUGCCUGCUUCAUCUCCCUUCUAACUCACCCUCAACCAGCAGCUCACUGCUAGAGGGAUCAUAAAGCUGACCAUGAGACUGCAAAUGCUGAGACCACCCAAAAGAAGGUCCUGCCUGGUCAUGGGCAAUGACUGCCUCCAUCCAAACUCCCGUCGCUUCAACAUUGGGGAAGAGCCGGAUGUUACAUGGUGCCAGAUCCAGUGAAGGAAGCGCACAAGGACACACUGUAGUGUUUUCAUUUGACAAAGAAUUGCUGCAGACCUUUUGAAUCUACUCAGAAUAUUGAGGCUACCAAAAAAGGCAUGAAAGAGGACUUCCAGAGCUGCUUCAGAAAGUGGCAAAUCGAUGGGGAGGAGUUUGCAGCAAUGAUGCCCUCCAGUCACCCAGCUGGCAGAGGGCAGUGCCAGGACCAGCUCUAGUGCCUGCAUGUCUGGCCACUCAACCCCAGCAGUGACACUGAGGCAGAUGGACACAGACUCCUACAGGAGCCAGUCAGGGCUUCUGGCUGCACCCCAGUGCUCGUGCAGAACUGCAGGGAGAGAGAAAAGAGUGGGCUGGAUAGAGGAAGGAAGCCCUGAGCUCCAGGUUGGCGUGAAUGGCUUGGUCCUGUUGACAGCAAGGUUUGUAAAAAUUAUGAAACAGUGGGACGACGUAGACCACCGCAUCCUGGGAAGAUUCUUCUGGCAACGCUACUUGUGGUGGGUCCACAUGGAGGGUAUAGAAUCUGGAAAACAAGUGGGAGGCUCUACAGUCUGUGGUUGGAAAACUCUCGAUCUGCAGAAUGUGGUCUCUGUAAAUACCUUUCACUACUAAGAGGAAUCAGGCCUCCUUAGAAAAGUGACCAUUUCUAGGUCUGGAGCAAAAAAUGUACAAAGUACCUUAGAAAGAAAAGAAACCAUUGAAGUCCAAAUUACUGGAGUGGCAUCAAAAAGACAUAGACAUCUUGAAAAGGCAUCCACUGGGUAAAGAUGAGACAACUUGAAUAAAAAGGAACGAUCACUAAACUGGAAAGAAACAUGUCAAGUGUGUAAAAAUCCAUGAGCUCACAAUAAUAUGCUACCCUCUCUCCAACAAAGCAAAACAAAACAACAAAAUUCCAUGUAACUCAUUGGUUAACUACCUUGGGAAAUUACCAGGCC
Fukomys damarensis (Damara mole-rat) is the source of this 1262-nucleotide long non-coding RNA. RefSeq lists it as uncharacterized. The transcript is spliced from 5 exons. NCBI's taxonomy places the organism in Eukaryota, Metazoa, Chordata, Mammalia, Rodentia, Bathyergidae. The record is from RefSeq and is a predicted model, not a curated record.